CAGUCGUCGGAAAUCACUGCCACAGUGGGCGUCGGCGGAAACUGUGUGGCUGGACGAAGCUCAGAGGGUACGUCCGGGGUAGGAGUGAAAUCCGUAAUCCCGGACGGACCACCGAUGGCGAAAGCACUCUGAGAAGACGGCUUCGACAGUGAGGGACGAAAGCUAGGGUCUCAAACCGGAUUAGAUACCCGGGUAGUCCUAGCUGUAAACGAUGCUCGUUAGGUGUGGCACCCACUACGAGUGGGUGCUGUGCCGCAGGGAAGCCGCUAAACGAGCCGCCUGGGAAGUACGUCCGCAAGGAUGAAACUUAAAGGAAUUGGCGGGGGAGCACUACAACCGGAGGAGCCUGCGGUUUAAUUGGACUCAACGCCGGAAAUCUCACCAGCCCCGACAUCAGUAAUGACGGUCAUGUUGACGACAUCUGCCCGAGCUGAUGAGAGGAGGUGCAUGGCCGCCGUCAGCUCGUACCGUGAGGCAUCCUGUUAAGUCAGGUAACGAGCGAGAUCCACAUCCCUAAUUGCCAGCACCAUCGCCAGAUGGGUGGGUACAUUAGGGAGACUGCCGCUGCUAAAGCGGAGGAAGGAAUGGGCAACGGUAGGUCAGUAUGCCCCGAAUGGGCUGGGCAACACGCGGGCUACAAUGGGCAGGACAAUGGGUUCCAACACCGAGAGGUGGAGGUAAUCUCAGAAACCUGCUCGUAGUUCGGAUUGCGGACUGAAACUCGUCCGCAUGAAGCUGGAUUCGGUAGUAAUCGCGUGUCAGCAGCGCGCGGUGAAUACGUCCCUGCUCCUUGCACACACCGCCCGUCAAAGCACCCGAGUGAGGUCCGGAUGAGGCCACAUUCGUGGUCGA
Molecule: ribosomal RNA, 852 nt
Filed under: uncultured archaeon
Lineage: Archaea
Description: bacterial SSU rRNA
Rfam family: Archaeal small subunit ribosomal RNA
Source: RNAcentral